Molecule: long non-coding RNA, 792 nt
Organism: Silurus meridionalis
Lineage: Eukaryota; Metazoa; Chordata; Actinopteri; Siluriformes; Siluridae
Exons: 2
Source: RefSeq, a predicted model, not a curated record
CCUUCUUUCCGCGCUUAGACUGGGAUGACUGUUUUGUGGAACACAUCCGGUUAUCAUAUCCGGUCCCAGGCUUGUAUUCAUUAGAUCAUAUAUGCCAGUGUUUUAUUUAUUUCCUUGUCAUAAACAGUUAUGGAUUCGCGGAGAACUGGUAUUAUUUGUGCAGGUGGGAUUGCUAUAAUAACUGGUACAAACGAAAACGCUUUUUAGAGCAGGAGUGCUAUGAUCAUAAACCGGGCAUUAGAGCGGAAUGUGGCUGUGAAGCGCCAUAUAAUCUCCACCCGCCCCCCUACAAUAGAGAAACUUUUUGGCUUUGGGUAAAAUCCCUACAUCUGCGCGAUAACGAAGCGGCUAUACGUUUGCUUUUUUCAUUUUGUGUGGACAAAAGACAUGAUGGAGCAUCCGUCUCCGGUUAUAACGAUCCUCGACUCAGCGCCUCAUCGUGAAAAUCUCAACACAUAAAGGUUCAUUGGUUUCUUCUACCUGAAAGCAUACCAGGAGGUACAGUAUACAGGCUAUGUUUUUAAUUCCACUUUGGUGUUAAAUAAAUGUGUGAAUGUGUAUAAAUGGUGCAUUUAGAUGGACUAGCAUGCCAACCAGUGUGUAAACCUGCCUUAUUUCCAAUGUUACUGAGAAAGACACCGGAUCCACCAUCGCCCGGAUCAGGAUAACACAAUUACUGAAUAUGAAUGAAUGAUACCUCUGGACAAUGUUGAGAAACGUCAGACUUUUUCACACAUGAAACCCACAUUUGCCUAUUAUAUAUAUAUUUUUUAUUAAACAUUGUUGCUUGAA